This 601-nucleotide small RNA is filed under the name Pongo abelii (Sumatran orangutan). RNAcentral's name for it is "retained intron". Lineage: Eukaryota; Metazoa; Chordata; Mammalia; Primates; Hominidae. The record is from RNAcentral.
GUUGGUGGCCAGGGGGACAGCGGGGCGGGCCCGCGCCGCGGGUCGUGGCCGGGACACGUGGUACGGAACCGGCGCCGCGCUUGCUGCUGGUAAGAGGGCCUUGCCUAGUGGGCCUUCCUUCCCAGGUCGCCCGUCAGUCCCCACUAGAGACAGGACUGACCAUUUGCUCUUCCUUACAAGAACCUUCGAGAUCUGCGGUCUGGGGUCUGGUUGAAAGAUGGCAGCCCUCACUACCCUGUUUAAGUACAUUGAUGAAAAUCAGGAUCGCUACAUUAAGAAACUCGCAAAAUGGGUGGCUAUCCAGAGUGUGUCCGCGUGGCCGGAGAAGAGAGGCGAAAUCAGGAGGAUGAUGGAGGUUGCUGCUGCAGAUGUUAAGCAGUUGGGCGGCUCUGUGGAACUGGUGGAUAUCGGAAAACAAAAGCUCCCUGAUGGCUCGGAGAUCCCGCUCCCUCCUAUUCUGCUCGGCAGGCUGGGCUCUGACCCACAGAAGAAGACCGUGUGCAUUUACGGGCACCUGGAUGUGCAGCCUGCAGCCCUGGAGGACGGCUGGGACAGCGAGCCCUUCACCCUGGUGGAGCGAGACGGUGAGCGCCGCGUGCCU